UACGUAGGGGGCAAGCGUUGUCCGGAAUUACUGGGCGUAAAGGGCGCGUAGGCGGUCUUGUAAGUCUUGUGUGAAAUCCCUCGGCUCAACUGAGGAACUGCACGGGAUACUGCGAGACUUGAGUUCGGGAGAGGGAAGCGGAAUUCCGGGUGUAGCGGUGAAAUGCGUAGAUAUCCGGAGGAACACCGGUGGCGAAGGCGGCUUCCUGGACCGAUUACUGACGCUGAGGCGCGAAAGCGUGGGGAGCAAACAGG
Molecule: ribosomal RNA, 254 nt
Filed under: uncultured bacterium
Lineage: Bacteria
Description: partial 16S ribosomal RNA
Rfam family: Bacterial small subunit ribosomal RNA
Source: RNAcentral